This is a long non-coding RNA of Gadus morhua (Atlantic cod), 823 nucleotides long. NCBI's taxonomy places the organism in Eukaryota, Metazoa, Chordata, Actinopteri, Gadiformes, Gadidae. The record is from Ensembl.
CAGUAAAAUUUGCAGUGUGUUGAAAUCACAUUGUAAACUUCAACUUGCACUUAUAGUGUAGAUUCCUCUACAGGUAGAGUCGAUUCCUCUACAGAAGUUACAUUUGAAAUCCAGAGCUAAAAACAUUAGUGGAAAGAAUGCUCCACCCCUAUUUUUUGGAACAACGCAGCCAGACCUCAAGAAUCAGCGCCAUUUUGAAGAGGCUCCAAUAGAAAGGCAAACGGAUCAUGUUGGUCAAAGUCAAGUUCAGAGGCAUCCAGAAAUUCAUCAGCAUUUCUGAAGCCAAGAUCAGUGAACUGCUUGAGUGUGCAUUCCAGAAGUUUUGUUUGUCAAGACUGUCAAGACAUCUCCCUCAGCCAAUUGCCUAAUGCAAAGCUCUUUAAUGACUCUAAAACUGAGGUUGACCAGGAGGUGUUUGGAGAAGUGAUUGGUGCAAAUACUGGUGUUUAUGAGCUAUCCAUUGAUGGUGUCUCUGAAGGAGACCUUGGAGGUGCUCUUUUACCUGAUUGGAUGAAAAUGGUUGUCUUGACGUAAAAUAUGAACUUUACGUAAAAUAUUGCUAUGCCGGUUUUGUUUCUGAGGCACCAGCUGUUGGCCAGUCGACACCAGCUGUAAGUCAAGAGGACUCUGAUACUGACUCUACUCUCAUUCUGAGCGAUGAAAGUCCCCAGCGGAAACGGUCAAGACCAAAUAGGUCUGAGGCCCAUGCAACUCUACCUGCUCCCUGCAAAGUUCUAUUUUCCCAACACAGUAAUCUGAUGGCAACCGGCAGAAGCUCUUAAUUAAUGCGCAAAAGUCUCCUGGAUCCAUUCACUUCAAGUUU